AGUCGAAACUGGGGCACAAUGCCUCAGUCUGCCGGAUCUGACCGCCCGGCACUGAUGAGACAGGUCAAA
This 69-nucleotide non-coding RNA is filed under the name Brevibacillus choshinensis. The record is from RNAcentral. Lineage: Bacteria; Bacillati; Bacillota; Bacilli; Caryophanales; Paenibacillaceae.